GACGAACGCUGGCGGCGUGCUUAACACAUGCGAGUCGAACGGAAAGGCCCUGCUUUUGUGGGGUGCUCGAGUGGCGAACGGGCGAGUAACACGUGAGUAACCUGCCCUUGACUUUGGGAUAACUUCAGGAAACUGGGGCUAAUACCGGAUAGGAGCUCCUGCUGCAUGGUGGGGGUUGGAAAGUUUCGGCGGUUGGGGAUGGACUCGCGGCUUAUCAGCUUGUUGGUGGGGUAGUGGCUUACCAAGGCUUUGACGGGUAGCCGGCCUGAGAGGGUGACCGGCCACAUUGGGACUGAGAUACGGCCCAGACUCCUACGGGAGGCAGCAGUGGGGAAUAUUGCACAAUGGGCGGAAGCCUGAUGCAGCAACGCCGCGUGCGGGAUGACGGCCUUCGGGUUGUAAACCGCUUUCGCCUGUGACGAAGCGUGAGCGACGGUAAUGGGUAAAGAAGCACCGGCUAACUACGUG
RNAcentral lists this ribosomal RNA (468 nucleotides) under uncultured bacterium. Its description in RNAcentral is "partial 16S ribosomal RNA". It matches the Rfam family "Bacterial small subunit ribosomal RNA", at positions 28 to 507 of the family's 1533-position model. The record is from RNAcentral.